This is an RNA transcript of Diospyros lotus (date-plum), 10947 nucleotides long. It is a transcript of the gene named protein trichome birefringence-like 10, with no coding region annotated. The transcript is spliced from 7 exons. The record is from RefSeq and is a predicted model, not a curated record. NCBI's taxonomy places the organism in Eukaryota, Viridiplantae, Streptophyta, Magnoliopsida, Ericales, Ebenaceae.
UCCGCAUUAUCUGUUGCCCACACACACUCUCUCUCUCUCCCCCCACUAAGGCCACGACUGGACCACGCGAUUCUUCCAUUCUUCCCUCCAAUUGCAUGCUCCCCGAAUUGAAAAGAAAAUUUAUGGGGUUUGGGUUUCCAUCUCCCAAUGAAGCAUCCCUUCUUUGAUUAAUCACUGUCAACAAGUUCCAGUUUCACAACCCUCUUGGUGGAAAGUCGACGAGAUUUAUGAACUGAUUGAAUUUCUGAGCUUAGUUAGCUUUAUUUCUUGGUGAAACACCCACUCUCCAUCUGUCAAAUGUCCAGGGGAAAACCACGCGAAACCCGAAGUUUUUAUUGAUCUGUAGAUGAAUCAGUUUUGUUUGCAAUCGAUUUAUUUCUUUCUUCUAGACCCCACAGGCAGCUUUCAAUCUCCAUUUUCGCACCUCUCUACAAUCGAUCCUCUUUCCGUAUUAAACGUGGCCCAAACCCCUCAGAACCGUGACCCACUUGCAGUUCUUGGCAUCUUCUCUCUCUCGUCAUCUCCUCUUCCGAGCUCUGACCCCUUUCCUUCCCCAAAACCCAUCUCCCAGUGGUUGGGAACAAUCCGACAAUCUUCAGCACAAUGACCCAGUUGGAGUUUUUCAAGAAAUUCAAGCGCUCAGCCCCUCCCGAGCCAUCACUGCGCAUUCUUGUUUUCUUCCUAUUCUCUAUUUGCUUCAUUCUCUGCUUCUUUUACUUUGAUUAUCGAGUUGUAACCAGAGGGUUCAGCUCCCUCGCCCACUCGGGCUAUGUUGCGUUGUUUGGCUUUAAUGAAACCGCUGUUUCGAUCAGCGAGUUCAGCCUGCCGGAGUUUCUGGAAAAGGGCGGCGAUGGCUGCGAUUUGUUUGAAGGUAACUGGGUUUGGGAUGAUAGUUAUCCUCUGUAUCGCUCUGAAGAUUGCUUGUUUGUAGACCAAGGCUUUCGGUGUUCUGAGAAUGGCCGGCCUGAUAAUUUCUACACCAAGUGGCGUUGGCAACCCAAAAAUUGCAACUUACCCAGAUUUGAUGCAAAGAACAUGCUGGAAAGGCUGCGGAACCGCCGACUUGUGUUUGUUGGUGACUCUAUUGGGAGAAAUCAAUGGGAGUCCCUUCUUUGCAUGCUUUCUCCUGGGGUUCAUGAUAACACUUCUAUUUUUGAAAUUAAUGGAAAUCCAAUUACAAAGCACACGGGUUCCUUGGUGUUCGUGUUUAGGGAUUUCAACUGCACAAUUGAGUACUACCGAUCUCCAUAUCUAGUUCAGCAGGUUCGGGCACCGGCUGGUGCUCCAGCAAAGGUGAAGACCACUUUGAAACUGGAUCAGUUGGAUUGGAGCUCCACACAGUGGAAAGGAGCAGAUGUGCUGGUUUUCAAUGCGGGGCAUUGGUGGAAUUACGAGAAAACCAUAAGAGGGGGUUGCUACUUUCAAGAAGGGAAGGAAGUGAAGAUGGAAAUGAGCAUAGAGAGUGCAUUUCAGAGGUCAAUCGAGACAUUGAUUCAGUGGAUAGACAAUGAAGUAAACUUGAGCAAAACCCAGGUCAUCUUUCGGAGCUAUGCCCCUGUACACUUCAGGGAAUGUGUAAAAGUUUUAUAAAGAAAUCUUCUCUGCCCCUAAAUCUCAUUGCUGCAAUGAGGAUUGUUAGAGAACUCUGUACCAUGUGUGCAUUUUUUGCCUGGCAGAGCUGGAGGUAACUUGGUUUUCUUCUUGGGAAAUCAACAUAAAACAUUACUGCAGGUUUAUUUCUGAUUCAUGUCUAGAAGCUAAAAAGAAUUUUGGAUCCCGUGAGACACUAAUGAUGGAUGAUAGCAAAUGUAUGGCAUUAACCUUUCUACAGGAUAAUAAGCCGUUAUUCACCAACAUGAAAAAUUGUCUCCAAGCAUUCAACAAUUGAAGAGCUUUAAUUGGGAAGCAAACAGUUAAUGAAAGGAAGGAACAAAAUUUCAUCGUAACAAGGUACUGCUCAUAGCUGAACUGUACAAACAUGAGUGCAGAGUGAACUGCAAUCUGGAAAUGGAGAUUUUAACAGUUUCUUAGGCAGGUGCUGCAAUAUGAACUGGAUUUUUUUUUUAUAAUUUCAUAAAGCAUGGAUAUAGGCUGGUCUCUAGAAUAUGUGUUAAAGGUGGUUUGGGUAUGUGAGAUGAUGAUAAGUAGACACUCCUAAGGAUAGUGGAUGGAAUGGCCAAGCUUGUAGCAAAAAAGUUAAAGACGGAUACAAUAACCUCUUACAAAAGAUGUGCUUACGGAUCAAGAUGAUUACAAGCUAAAUCCAUGCAGCCAACCUACCUCGGAUUAAGGUUUGGUGUUUAAGCAUGGCUAUAAGCAAGCAUUGGGCAAUGAAUGGAUACCAUCGCUACAGGUCUUUUUAUUGGAUUAACCCCGUAGUUGCUGAGGGUUCGCAUGCUGAUAUUUGGAUUGCAUGGACCACUUAAACCUGGCAAUUCAUUUAUAGAAGCAAUCAUCUUCGUAGGAAAAGCCGUCUUUGUUUCUUUGUUUUCCUUGCUCUCUCUUUCCAAUGAGAGUAUUUCAUACUCAACUGGUAAUCUAGGUUCUCGCAUUGGUUCCCGCAACGGUGUGGGGACUCUAGUUAUGAGUUCUUCUCUAUUUGAUUUUUUUAUAUUGGCGUUUCUCUUGUUUUUUAUUGUGUAACCUCUUUAUUUAUCUAAUGUAGUCUAUUUGGGACAAAUUAUUUAAAAGAUUUUAAUAAGAGCCCAUCCCAAAUGUAACUGAAAGCCACAAGCUACAUGAGAAAGUGAUGGUGGUGAAGCACCAAACGAUGUCGUGCAGCUUUGCUGAGUGGAUGGUUGCAUGUGGCAACUGCAAGUUGCCAUGUGACACCUGUUGAAUGGUAACAUGCAGCAACCAUCAGCUAUUCCUUUGAGACGCCCGAUUGUCUUUUUCUCGAUUGCUCUCUCUACCUGUUUGCCUUUCUGUUGGAAUAAUUGAUCGUGUUGCACGAUCUGAUCUCAGCCGUUCAUCCAAGCUUUAUGAGAUGCAAUCCCAGCCAUCCAUUGACGUUUUUAAUCUCACUCUUCGGGAUAUGAAUCGUCGGACAAAAAGAAAGAAAAGAAAAGGGGGGGAAAGAAAGAGAAAGAUCGAGAGGGUUUUCGCCUUGGCUUUGGGCUAGGGUUUUUUGGUGGGUUUCUCUUCCGCAUUCUCUGUAAUUGCUCUUUAUAGAUUUAUUUUGUUCUCUGGUUCGAUAAGAUUCGCCUCUAAUCUGUAUUAGUGAUUUUGGGGCAUUUUUGUUAGCGAAUCAUUGUUGUACAGAGAGUAUUUGUGAGGGUUUGAGGGUGUAAUCUCCGAUUUAUCUCUUUAGUGCAAUGAGCUAUUCUCACCAGAGCUUAAUGUGGACGUAGCCUUAUUUUAGGUGAAUCACGGUAAAAAUCAUUGUCUCCCUUUCUUGUUUCGUUUCUGUUUUCAUUUCAUCUGUGUAUGUUUGUUAUUGUACUUCCUGUCUUUGCUAUCUUCAAUAUGUGAUUGAACGUAUACUGUUAUUACCCUAAAGUUUGUGUUAUCAGUUCUCAAUAGUGGUAUCAGAGCCAUGUUAAGAUUGGCUCUUAGGGUUUUGUAAGUUCAAUCGAUUUUUCUUUCAAAUCUUGGGUUGUCGUCAGUUUGUGGGUGGUCUAGGGUUUUUGAGAGUGCUUGUUAGCAAGUGUUUGUUGUGUUGGUCUCCGUCAGUGUUUAGAGCCCCUUAGGUUACCUUCGUGCAAGGUGAAGAUAAUGUCUCCCCGAUUUGAAAUCGGUAUAUUUGAUAGUAAAGGAAACUUCAGAAGUUGGAAAAAGAAAAUGAGUGUUUCUCUCUCAUCAUAAAGUGCUGAUAGCACUUGAGGCGGAUGAUCGAAAAUGGUCCGCUGAUCAACUUGCAAGAAUCGAUGAGAUCAGAGAGGAAGCCUUUAAUCUGAUCUUCAUUCAUUUUGGUGACAAUGUAAUUCGAAAGGUAGAUGGUAUGUCUAAUCCUCUAGACCUCUGGAAUAAGUUAGAUUCAUUGUUUUCUGUUAUAAUUGCACUUAAUUUAGUUUACUUGAAAGGCAUGCUGUUUAACUUUAAAAUGAAUACAUCUAAGUUAAUGGAUGAGAACAUAGACGAAUUUACUAGGCUUGCAUUAUUACUUAGAGGUACUAAUCAAGCAUUAGGUGACACUAGUGAAGUUAUGAUUAUGUUAAAUUCAUUACUUGAUGACUAUGAGGUUGUUAAGCAUGCAUUGAGAUAUAUUGGCAUUGUACCUAGUAUGGAUCUUGUAAUUUCGGGCAUUAAGGCUAGGGAACUGGAGUUAAGUACAUCUAAAAAAUUAGGAAAUAAUUUGUUUGUAAAAGGUAAGAAUGAGAAAAAACACUUUAUAAGUAACAUUGAUUAAUCUGGUAGGUCAAGGCAAAAGGGUAAAAAGAAAGAUAAGAAGGGUAGGCAAAAAUGGAAAUGCUAUCACUAUGGAAAAGAGGGACACAUUAAAAAGUAUUGCCAUGAUUUUAUCAGAAAACAAAAACAAGGGGGAAAUACUAAUACAACUGCUAACAACUCAAAUUGCUAACAACUCAAAUUGCUUGGCUGAAGUACUUACUGUUUCUGAUUUUUCUGUUGAUAAUGAAUGGAUUAUGGAUUGGGGUUGCUCUUUUCAUAUGUGUCCUAAUAUUGAUUGGUUUCAAAAUUUUAACAAAGACACUGGAAUUGUGUACAUGGGUAACAACUAUUCCUGUAGUGUUAAAGGCAUAGGUAAUAUAUCUCUUAAAUUGCAUGACAACAAAACUAGAACCUUAACUGAUGUAAGAUAUGUUCCUGGCUUGAAAAGAAACUUGAUAUCUCUUGGCACUUUAGAUGAGCUAGAGUUUUCUUAGAGAGCAGAAAAUGGGUCUAUGCAUGUGUUUAAAGGAGAUGAAUUAAUCCUAACGGGUGUUAAGAAAAAUGAAUUAUAUGUUUUGAAUGGUUGUUAUUUUUCCUCUGUUAAUAUGUAUUCUGCAUGGAUUGCUAAAAUCGAUAAGACAGAAUUAUGGCACCUGAGACUUGACCAUAUGAGCCUGAAAGGUCUUCAAGCACUGUCUAACCAAGGUUACCUUGGAUCAGUGCCUGUUGGAUCCCUCGAUUUUUGUGAGCCAUGUGUUCUAGGAAAGCAACACAGGUUGAAUUUCCAUAAAGAAACUCACCUAACGAAGGUAUGCCUAGAAUAUAUUCAUGUAGACUUGUGGGGGCUUUCUCAGGUCCCUACUCACGGGGGUAACAGGUAUUUUCUAUCUAUAGUAGAUGAUUUCACUAGGAAGGUCUGCGUUUUUCUAUUAAAAUCUAAAGAUCAAACUCUAGAGAAGUUUAAAACUUGGAAGAACAUAGUUGAAAAUCAAAUAGAUAGAAAGAUUAAAGUCUUAAGAACAGACAGUGGUCUGGAAUUCUGUAACAAGGAAUUUGAUGAAUUUUGCAAUACCCAGGGAAUACUUAGGCAUAGAACUGUUAGGUAUACACCCCAGUAAAAUGGGGUAGCUGAAAGAAUAAAUCGAACCCUACUUGAAAAAGUUAGGUGCCUUUAGCAUGCCUAAGUUCUUUCAACUGCUGCCCAUUUAGUAAACAAAAGUCCUUCAACUGCCCUGAGGAAAUAUGGACUGGUAGGAAAUUAAAUCUUAAUUACCUUAGAAUGUUUGGUUGUGAAGCUUAUACUCACAAGUCAUAAGGUAAAUUAGAACCUAGGUCCACUAAGUGUGUGUUUGUUGGUUACCAAGAAGGGACCAAAGGCUUUAGAUUAUGGGAAAGACAAUCUGGUGGUGUCAUAUUUAAUGAAGCCAUUUUCCCUUGUAAAAUUCAAAACAUAGAAGAAACCAACAUUCUAAGAAAAUCAAAUGAUUAUGUUAUCUUAGGAGUGUCUCAAAUUGAGGUAGAGCAAGCUGCAGGAAAUAACAACUUGCCAGCUGCUCCCACUGCAAUAGAACCUGAUCUAGAAGGUGUGCCCUUGCCUAUGUCUAAUGAGAAUCACACCUCUGAUCAUGAUGAUGAUCAAGAGGAACAAGAAGAUGACCCUGACAUUGAGGUGGAGUAUCAUGGCUCACCUCAAGAUUUCAGUGACUAUUGGCUAGUCCGUGAUAGGAGCAGGAGGGUUACUAGAUCUCCUGCAAGGUAUGCCUAUUCAGACCUAGUUUAUUGUGCCCUAGUUGCAGGGAUAGAAUUAAGGAGUGGUGAGUGAGCCUUCCACUUAUGAGGAGGCUGUCAGCUCCAGGGAAUGCACAAAGUGGCAGCAGGCUAUAGAUGAGGAAAUGACCUCUCUUAAAGCUAAUGGUACUUGGAAAUUGGUCCCUCGACCACAGAAACAAAAACUGAUCCAGUGUAAAUAGUUGUACAAAUUAAAGGAAUGUAUGUCUCUUACUAACCCAAUUAAGUAUAAAACAAGAUUAGUGGCUAAGGGGUUCACUCAGAGGGUGGGCAUAGACUACACUGAAAUUCUCUCCUGUAGUUACAUUUAAAACAAUCCGCAUGAUACUUGCUGUUGUUGUUCAAUUUGAUUUUGAACUAGAAUAAUUAGACGUUAAAACAACAUUCUUGCAUGGAGACUUAGAGGAAAAAAUUUAUAUGGUUCAACCUACUGGAUAUAUUGACUCUGAUAAGUCAGAGCAUGUUUGUUUACUGAAAAAAUUCUUAUAUGGCCUAAAGCAAUCUCCGAGACAAUAGUAUAAAAAAUUUGAUAAUUUUAUUCUAGGGAUUGGGUUUAUUAGGAGUUGAUAUGAUAACUAUUUUUAUUUUAUUCUCUCUAAUAUCCCUGUUUACCUAUUGUUAUAUGUGAAUGAUAUCCUGUUAAUUAGCAAGUCUAAGUCUAAGAUCAAUGAAUUAAAACAAAUGCUCAACACAAACUUUGAUAUGAAAGACUUAGGGUUACCUAAGAAAAUUUUAGGAAUGAUAAUAGAGAGGGAUAGAGGCAACUUCAGCUUAAAGGUUCAUCAAAAUGACUAUUUAAUGAAAGCUGUUAAAAAAUUUGAUAUGCACAAUUGCAAGUCAAUGAGUGUUCCAUUAGCCGGACAUUUUGUCCUAACUAAAUCUCAAAGCCCAACAUCUAACUCAGAAAUUAUUAAAAUGGAAAAUAUUCCAUAUGUUAAUGCAAUUGGAACCAUUAUGUAUGCCAUGAUUAGUACUAGACCUGAUCUAGCUUAUGCUAUUUCCUCCCUUAGUAGAUUCAUGUCAAAUCCUGGUAAACCUCAUUGGGAUGCACUUAAAUAUUUACUAAAACAUAUAAAUGGUUCUGUAAAUAUUGGACUGAGCUAUAAGAAAAGAUAUAAUACUCUUGAUCUUGUUAGGUAUGUAGAUUCUGACUUUGCAGGUGAAAAAGGCACUCGAAAGUCCACUACAGCUCUGUUUUUCACCUUGUGUGGAAACUUCAUCAGCUGGAAAUCACAGUUGCAGCCUUUGGUUGCGCUGUCUUCUACUGAGGUUGAGUAUGUAGCAGUGACCAAUACUUUCAAAGAGGCUGUGUGGCUUCAAGGCCUUAUUUAGGAGAUCCACCUGCUUCAAAGCAAGGUGGCGGUGUAUUCAGACAACCAAAGUGUGAUUCAUUUGUCCAAGAAUCCAGUCUACCAUGAACGCACAAAACACAUGGAUGUCAUGUAUUAUUAUGUUAAGAGAUUUAGUAGCUAAUGAUACUAUAAUUAUACUGAAGGUGCUUACAAAAAACAACCCAGUAGAUAUGGGUACAAAGGUACUAACUGUAACAAAGUUCAAGCAUUGCUUGAACUUGUUGCAUGUGGGUAUUGGUUGAUCAGAUCAGCCAGAGCUGUGAAGGUGAGAAUUGUAGCAUGUUGCACUGUGUGAGAAUUUUGGGGGUUCACCUAUGGUUUGAUGCUUCAAGGUGGAGAUUGAUGGUGGUGAAGCACCAACGAUGUCGUGUGGCUUUGUUGAGUGGAUGGCCAUGUGUGGCAACCGCAGGUUGCCAUGUGGCACCUGUUGGAUGGUAACACGCGGCAACCAUCAGCUGUUCCUUUGAGGUGCCCGAUUGUCCUUUUCUCGAUUGCUUUGUCUGCCCGUUUGCCUUUCUGUUGGAAUAAUCGAUCGUGUUGCAUGAUCUGAUCUCAGUUGUUCAUCCAAGCUUUAUGAGAUGCAAUCCCAGCUAUCCAUCGACGUUUUUAAUCUCACUCAUUCGGAUAUGAACCAUCAGAUGAAAAGAAAGAAAAGAAAAUGAGGGAAAGAAAGAGAAAGAUCGAGAGGGUUUUCGCCUUGGCUUCAAGCUAGGGUUUUUUUGUGGGUUUCUCUUCCUCAUUCUCUGUAAUUGCUCUGUAUAGAUUUAUUUUGUUCUCUGGUUCAAUAGGAUUCGCCUAUAAUCUGUAUUAGUGAUUUUGAGGCAUUUUUGUUAGCGAAUCAUUGUUGUACAGAGAGUAUUUGUGAGGGUUUGAGGAUGUAAUCUCCGAUUUAUCUCUUUAGUGUAGUGAGUUCUUCUCAUCAGAGCUCAACGUGAACGUAACCUUAUUUUGGGUGAACCACGGUAAAAAUCCUUGUCUCCCUUUGUUGUUUCGUUUCAUUUUUGUGUAUGUUUGUUAUCGUGCUUCCUAUCUUUGCUAUUUUCAAUCUAUGAUUGAACAUAUACUGAUAUUACCCUAAGGUUUAUCUUGUCAGUUCUCAACAGAAAGAUUUGGAAAUUAAGUUUGGUGGUGAACUAAGAUAGAUGUCAAUCCUGGUUUUUGGCGGUGGAGCCUAUCGCACUUCCACCAUAUCAUCAAUACACACACCAAUAUUGACACCGAAGGCAAUUUGGUUAUCAUCCCCCCAUAGCUUCUCCCUAUCCCAAAUAAUUCUUUUAGUGAUCAUUCCUCAAACUCCCUUGAGUACUCAUUGUGCGUUUAGACCUAAAUUGGAUCAAUAACCUGCCAAUAGAUGUCUUCUACAGUUCUAAUGCACCAUUCUGUUAUUUCUUUAUGUCAUUGAAAAAUAAAAGGAUACUUUGAGCUUGUUUUGUUAAUGUCUCGAACCUGAUCUAUUGAAUGUAAGGCGCUUUUGUUUAGCUGCACCUGGCAGUUUUGUUUGAAGAAGGGGGAGACUGCAUGGUAUUCACUGGUACCUCGAUGCAACUGUCAGGAGUUGAUUUUUGUACAAAAGCAGAACAUGUAGUUGUAUUCUACUACUUGAAAUUAGAGCAGUCCAGAAACAAGAGAGUUAUCUGUGUGUGGUACCAAUGCAAACGUUGAUUCUUUUCAGGAGUAGAAAGUAACUCUCGAGUCGGAGAGGUAGUAACAAUGGUCAAUUACUUGCAGAGGCAGUUGCUUGUUUAUACAUUCUACGAUUUGGUACAUUUUACCCUGUAUAUCAAAUGCUGAAUUUUGAAUCUUCCUAAGAUAAUAUAAUGUCCAUUGUUCUUGCCUUAUCUCUUUUGGUGCAUAAUAUUCUCUUUGAAGAGUCAAAGAGCCCUUCUUUUUCUUUUUGGUAUGUAUUUAUAGUUAUCAUGCCAUAAAAUGGCUCUGAAUUUACAGCAUAUAUCAUCCAAUGCUAUAAAUUUGUAUAUUUGCCCAAAUAUCUUUUGUCAUGUCAAAAAAAAAAAAAAACAAAAAAAAAAAAAAAAAACAAAAAACGAAGGGCUCCAACAGUGGCAGCAAAUGCUCAAAAUGUUUUAAGUUAAGCUACUUGGUCUGAAAACCAGCAACUUCCCCAAGUUCUUCAACCUUUGUUGCUAAUAAUUCAACCUUUUUAACCAUCUCCAUCAUUAAGAACACAGAGCUGGCCGCAGCAAGUCCACCAUGGUCAUCUGCUUCUAGCUUGUAAGGAGAACUGACCCGGCUAAGCUCUAGUUUCAUUGACUGCAAUUUUGGUGCUAUCAGCGCUUUGGGCUUGCACCUUUCCAUCUUCAUGAUACUCUCUCCAAGCUCUCUCAGAAUCCAUCCGAGCAGCGACCCUACUGCCUCACAUGGUUCUUGAAUUGACUGUCUUAAAGCUGAGGAAGGCUGUUGAUGAAAUUUGAAUAAAUGUUAACCAUAAUAUUAUAUAUCCAUCAAAAAGUGUGUAGGCGUCUGAUCCAGACCUGUAAAGAUGAUUGAAGACACCCUUCCAGCGCAAUAAUGGAAAUAGCAAGCUCUCUAAGAACAUUGCCAAUUUCUAGGUACUUGUCCCAGGGAUAGAAAAGUCCAAAUCUUCCAUGCCAAGGUUCCCAUCUAGCAAAGUUCGCCUGAAGGAUACAACCCGACCCUUGUAAGCUACUCAGUUGAGAUCCUUAUCAUUGAUUAAAAGAGGCUUAUAAUUAUGAAGCAACCAUUAGGGGUUCAAAUUCUUUAUACAUAAAUAGUUCCAGUGCUGUUAUACAAAUCUUUUACUCAUUUAGCUUGUGUGGCAUAAUGAGCUAACAAGAAUAUACCAGUGAUUCCUCGUUGGCCUUUGAAUAUAACAAUGAUUUGCAACUGGUGAAUUGGGCACUGCACUGGCUUUCCUUCUCAUCGACUGGUUUGAAAUACUCUUCCAGGCAUCCUACAUUGAUCAGCAAAAGUGUUGCAGAUUAUUGCUCUACUUUCUACUUCAAAGAUGUACAAUAUUUGAUUAUUUUAAGUUGAAAAGUGGAGAAAGAUGAUCAAUUUUUUGGAAAAAUUAAAUGAAAAGAAUUAUCAAUUCUUGAAGUUAUUCAGAAGCUUCAAACUAGAUUCCGAUCUUUUGCAUAUGACUAAAGCUUAAGAAUUUGAGGUUCUUAUUUUUCUUGAAAGCGUUGAAGAUGUGAAUCAAAAAUCUUCACUUAAUUGAGGACUUACCUUCAACACAGGAAGCAAGCUUUUCGAACUUGGAGGCCAAAGAGUUAUGAAGCUCAUCACUAGCCCAGAUGGGGAACAGGAGCAAACUUGUGAAGAUGCAGAUAGUGAACCCCAUACCGAUAGUUGAGAGCCGUUCACGGGCUAGAUUCAUGAUCUUUUCAGCUCGCAAACCAGAUACCACUACCAGGUUGAAGGUAAGAAUGAAAAUCAAGGCUGCAUAUUCGUAUCUCCUUUUAAUGGUUGGAACGUAUCGGAAGUAUGCUGCAGCUGCACC